RNAcentral lists this long non-coding RNA (220 nucleotides) under Elaeis guineensis (African oil palm). Its description in RNAcentral is "long non-coding RNA (EGUI_LNC071598)". Lineage: Eukaryota; Viridiplantae; Streptophyta; Magnoliopsida; Arecales; Arecaceae. The record is from RNAcentral.
UCAUUAUUUAAACCAACCUAAUUGAACGAAAUAAGUUAGGUCCAAUUAGACUAAUUUAAACCCAACUUAAUUAGGCUUAAUUAGGCUCAAUAAAAUCCUAAUCAAAUUAGAAAUUGACUAAGCCCAACCCCUGAUCAAAUCAGGGACCAAACCAUCUCGACGAUUAGGUCAACUCUUAACCUAAUCGGGUCAAACCCAACUGAAUCCAAUUCAAUUGGAC